RNAcentral lists this ribosomal RNA (500 nucleotides) under uncultured bacterium. Its description in RNAcentral is "partial 16S ribosomal RNA". It matches the Rfam family "Bacterial small subunit ribosomal RNA", at positions 30 to 523 of the family's 1533-position model. The record is from RNAcentral.
AUUGAACGCUGGCGGCAUGCCUUACACAUACAAGUCGAACGGCAGCACGGGAGCAAUCCUGGUGGCGAGUGGCGAACGGGUGAGUAAAGUAUCGGAACGUGCCCAGUCGUGGGGGAUAACGUAGCGAAAGUUACGCUAAUACCGCAUACGAUCUAUGGGUGAAAGCGGGGGAUCGCAAGACCUCGCGCGAUUGGAGCGGCCGAUAUCAGAUUAGGUAGUUGGUGGGGUAAAGGCUCAACAAGCCGACGAUCUGUAGCUGGUCUGAGAGGACGACCAGCCACACUGGGACUGAGACACGGCCCAGACUCCUACGGGAGGCAGCAGUGGGGAAUUUUGGACAAUGGGCGAAAGCCUGAUCCAGCCAUGCCGCGUGCAGGAUGAAGGCCUUCGGGUUGUAAACUGCUUUUGUACGGAACGAAAAGGUUUGGCCUAAUAAGCUGAGCUCAUGACGGUACCGUAAGAAUAAGCACCGGCUAACUACGUGCCAGCCGCCGCAGUAA